CUCCUGCAACUAAGUUGAGUAUAGGAGGUCCAGCCUGCCCAGUGACUACGGGUUCAACGGCCGCGGUAUUUUGACCGUGCAAAGGUAGCGCAAUCACUUGUCUCUUAAAUAGAGACCUGUAUGAAUGGCUAGACGAGGGCUUAACUGUCUCCCCCAUCAAGUCAGUGAAAUUGAUCUAUCCGUGCAGAAGCGGGUAUAAUCAUAC
Molecule: ribosomal RNA, 205 nt
Filed under: Gila orcuttii (arroyo chub)
Lineage: Eukaryota; Metazoa; Chordata; Actinopteri; Cypriniformes; Leuciscidae
Description: partial 16S ribosomal RNA
Rfam family: Bacterial large subunit ribosomal RNA
Source: RNAcentral